GUUGACUCCUUCCCUAAAGGGGAGGAUUGAGGGAGACCUCUUCUUUUGCAAAAUGCAAUAUAAAAAGCCAGGAGUACUGCAGGGACAACCUCACCCAGAGCUGCCUGCACGAUGGUGCAAACAUCUUCUCCGGCUAUUCUAAAAGUAACAGGUAUUCCUUCAAAGAAGCUGGCAGUGGAAGGCCCUUCACUGCAUCGGGGAGAUACUGGAGUCCCAGGCUACGGCGCACGGCAUAGCGAGCGAGUGUUUUUAGAGUUCCUGGAGCUGAGCACAGAACAGUCAGUUUUUCACAUAGCUGCGGGUCUCUGGCCACCUCUCGUGGCAUGGUGCCAUUUUUCCUCAAUUCAAAGUGUCCAACAGCUCUGUGGAGGAGCUCAAAGCAAGAGUCCUCUUUCUCUGUUCCAAGUCCCCUGACUAGCAGAGCCACCAGGCGGGAGAUGGGUGUCUGGCCUAUUAGGUUGAUGACUCUGACCUCUGCGCCAUAAUCCAGAAGGAUGCUGACACUCUCAAGAUUUCCCUUCAUGGCAGCCCAGCUGAGCGGUGUAUCAUUGUUGUAAUCCAGGGCAUUGACAGAGGCCCCGCUCUCUAGGAGAGCCCGCACACACUCAGCAUUGUUCUUAAAGGCUGCCCAGUGAAGUGGGGUAUCUCUGUUGCCAUCCAAAGCAUUGGGGUUUGCACCAUACUCCAAUAGGACCUCCACACAAGCCUCAUCUUUCUCUGCUGCAUAGUGGAGGGCUGUUCGGUUAUACCCAUCCAGGGCAUUCACCUGUAAAAAGGGAGGAACUAUUACAGUAGACAGACUACUGAGAGGAAGACAGGACAGCAGCAAAGAAGCUUGCAUGGUUACCCACUACCUUUGCUAUGCAGUGCUCUGAACAGGAGGGUCAGCAAGCAACUCCCAGGGAGUCCUGGUGAUAAAGAUGAAGAUAUGACAGGAGCUUAGGAGCAAAAAGGAAAAGAACUGUCCUCAAACAGUCAACACUAUUAUGUGCACUGACUAGCUGGUCUGCAUUAUUUUGGUUUUUGCUGCAAUGUUCUUUUAUCUAUUCAUUAGAAUCUCUACCACAGAGUAAGGGGUAAGGCAGGAAUAGAGGAAGUCUAAGUCCCCGUAACUGCUCUGAAACAUUACUGGAAAGCUGCUUGACUAUACAGAGUUUUGGAUUAUUUUACUUACCCUGACCCUUUCUGUACCCUGUGGCUAAUGUAGCAACCAAACUGAAAAACAUAGCUUUUGCUAAGUUCUUUAACCAUACAGAGAAAUUCAAAAUGUUAGAAUAUAAGUCAGACCUUUGCAAAAAUAUGCUGUGGGUUCACAAGAGAACCCAAAUGAAAGCAUGUGAUAGGAAGAGCACAAAUCUCCCAGUGCUGGAAAAGCAGCUGGCUUGCUGACAGUCAGCAUCACCUGUAGUUUUUUUCUUCAAAUUUCCAAAUAGCAUAUACCCUCAUUAAUGAAAGAC
Molecule: long non-coding RNA, 1457 nt
Filed under: Homo sapiens (human)
Lineage: Eukaryota; Metazoa; Chordata; Mammalia; Primates; Hominidae
Description: HSALNT0188543
Source: RNAcentral